MicroRNA precursor from Tursiops truncatus (common bottlenose dolphin), 68 nucleotides. The record is from Ensembl. NCBI's taxonomy places the organism in Eukaryota, Metazoa, Chordata, Mammalia, Artiodactyla, Delphinidae.
CCAUUACUGUUGCCAAUAUGCAACUCUGUUCAAUACAAAUUGGAAUUGUGUUUUAGCAAUGGUGAUGG